GUUUCUCAUCUCUGGAUGUCUUCCUGAAGAGUGUCAUGGAGGAAUCCCUUCUCAGUAAAAAUGGUCACCUGGACCUGUUUGUUCGCUUCCUUCAUGGACUCUCUCUGGAGUCAAACCAGAGACUCUUAGGAGGUCUGCUGGGUCACACAGACAACAGUCCAGAAAUGAUCCAAAGAGUCAUGAAGAACCUGAAGGAGAUGAACAGUGAAGAUAUCUCUCCUGACAGAAGCAUCAACAUCUUCCACUGUCUGAUGGAGAUGAACGAUCUGUCGGUUCAUCAGGAGAUUCAAGAGUUCCUGAAGUCAGAGAACAGAUCAGUGAAGUUCCUCUCAGAGAUCCACUGCUCUGCUCUGGCCUACAUGCUGCAGAUGUCAGAGAAGGUUCUGGAUGAGUUGGACUUAAGGAACUAUAACACAUCAAACCAGGGACGACUGAGACUGAUCCCAGCUGUGAGGAUCUGCAGAAAGGCUGAGUAAGUCCAGGUUUUAUUCUCAGAAUAGUGUAAAUGAUCCCUGUAGUUCUUCUAAUGUCCACGUUACUGAUGAUGUUCUUCUUCAAAUAGAAAUCCACUCAAAUAUCAGGGAGGGGGUUUCUUUAGCAAAAACAUGAUCCUGGUGUCUAAAGUCCUGUUAGCCCAGGAUGAGGUCUACCUGUGGACCCCUGAGAACUUGUCCUGAUUGUGGAGGACCUCUUUGUUUUGAAUCGUGUCUGUAAUGAAUAAAGUCGAACUUUCAGGACAAAUCAGCGACCAUAUCUGAGGACACACAGAGGUCUUCUGAUGAUGGUAUCAGUCCAGAUCAACAUGUCAGUCAACAGCAGAGAGAGAGAGAGAUGACCAGAGCCCAAAGACAGAGGUUCAGUGGGUCUUUGUUUCUGUCUCUUAAAGGUCUCUCUGGAUUCAUCAGGCUUUAUAAACUUGUUUCUGCUGCUGAAGGGAAUGUUACAUGAAGAAAAAACUUUUAUUGUGAAAACAAAGAAAUCUUCAAAGUCUUCAAAUGUUCAGAGUCAAACCAGCUCUAACCUGCUAAAAAACGAUUUGAUCUGAACCAAUCAUAGAAAAAGGAGCUGCUGCUGUGAUUUAGUGAGUCGUCCUCUGAUUGGUCAACAGUCAGUGUCUAUGGACAGACUUACAUUACAGCAGGAUGUCAACAUUAAACACUGAGAGGAGCACUGAUUCUCCAAGAGGUACUUUGGAUACUAACCAAUCACAUACCAGGACCAAAAACCUGGUUCUCAGUCCCCUUCUCCAACCAGAACUCAAGAAUUCACUCAGUCAUAAUGAUCCAGCUGCACUAACAUGAAGACAACACUGUUAGAGAACAGAAGGACUAAAAUAAGUCAUGGAGUCAUUUGUCUUGAACAUCUGAACAGUUUUUUUUUCUUCUAAACUUUGACUUCCUGUCUUCUCUCAUGGCUGUGGUCCUGAUAUUAGUAUCUGUCUGGUUAAAAACAGGCCGUCUGUCAAACCAAAGAUCAUGUUUGAGUCAUUUUUGGUGAAGAGAAACAUCAAAUACUCUUCAGUUAAAUAUUGUUUGAUAUUUAUGUUGUUACAGAUUUUCUAACUGUGGACUCUCAGAGACUCACUAUGAAGUUGUGGCCUCAGCUCUGAAGUCCAACUCCUCCUAUCUGAGAUAUCUGGACCUGGCUUUAAACGAUCUGCAGGAUUCAGGAGUGAAGCUGCUCUCUGCAGGACUGGAGAGUCCAAACUGCAGACUGGAGACUCUGUUGUGAGACACCAUUUCCUUCUGAUCUAACAAUAAGAUGUGACAGUUGCUGCCUUAGAUUUUUCUCUGUGGUUUUUCCAUCAACUUUGGUCGAGCAGUUUUUUUCCUCUGCUUUCGAUUUUUUGAUAGUUUUGUUGUAUACUGCAUUUAUACAUCAUUGCUAUUGCUGCAGUGUUAUUUGUUUGUUUUUCUGAUAUGUAAAAACUUAAAAUAUUGUUUAAAAAAAAAAAGGGAAAGUUCUUUGAUGUCCUUCAGGGGCUCAAGAACACUGAAUCAUUAAAAGCAGAAAAAGUUUCUUCAGAGGUGAAAUGAUUUUUCCUUUUUUCAGACUGAUGAACUGCAGUUUGUCAGAGAUCAGCUUUUCUUCUCUGGCCUCAGCUCUGAAGUCCAACCCCUCCCAUCUGAGAGAGCUGGACCUGGGUGACAACAAUCUGCAGGAUUCAGGAGUGAAGCUGCUGUGUGAUUAUCUGCAGGGUCCAAACUGUAAACUGGAGACUCUGAUGUAAGUUUAGUCUUUGUCUGUUUCUGGUGUAGAUUCAUUUUUUUUAACCCAAUUCAAGUGUUCAUAGAAUUCUUUAAUGUUUUCAGAACUUAAUUCUUGCUCACAUAGUGCUGACAGUAGAGACAACAUAGUCUGUUCUGGGUUGAGUGUUAUUGUUGAAGAUCAGUGUACAGUGAGGGAUGAAGGCCGUUCAAGUUCAUUUUGAAGACUUUUUACCUUUUGUUGACCUAAGCGCUGGCCAAACCAGUGCUCCAUCACAUUUGAUGUCUUGUCUGUUAUUUUACAUGGAGGGUCAGAGCAGACCAGAUAAUGAGCUCUGACAGACUGGAUCUGGUCCAAAGGUCUCCUGUUGAAGUUCUUUAAGCUCAAUUUUUUAAACCUGAACACCUGAAGUUUGAUUAUUAAUUAUUUUGAUCCUCAUUCUCUUUCCUUUUUUCAGACUGAGGCACUGCAGUUUGUCAGAGAUCAGCUGUUCUUCUCUGGCCUCAGCUCUGAAGUUCAACCCCUCCCAUCUGAGACAUCUGGACCUGAGAGAAAACAAACUGCAGGAUUCAGGAGUGAAGCUGCUGUGUGACUUUCUGCAGAGUCCAAACUGUAAACUGGAGACUCUGAGGUCAGACUUUUUUCCUCCAUUCAAACAUUAUCAUGAUUUGUUUGUGAUGAUGACACUAAACUGCUGACUCAGGACUGAAAUACUGACCCAGACUGAACACCUUCAGUCCAGAGUAGAUUUUCUGCAUCAGUGGAUUAUUUGAUUGACUCCAGUUCGAUCACUGCUGAGCUCCAGUGAAUUAAAACCUGAACCCAAGAAGAAAACUCUUUGUAGAGUUCACAGUGAGAAGCACAUUCAGACAGAAAACAGAAGCAGGGGGAGAUUUGUCAGACGAGAACCAUUCAAACUUUUGUUCAGGACAAGAUCAGGGACUAUAAAAAACUCAGAGUUAAGUUUCUGACACUGAUGAAAGUCCAGCUCUGUUACUUUGAAUUUUGAUUGAUUUUGUGAAUCUUUAUGUGAAAAUCUGAAUUUUCUGGUUUAUCUGCACUUUUCUGAAGCCUUGCUGUGUUUAGACUGAAAUAUUUACCUCUCAAAGACGUGAUAUUUUUGGUUCAGCAAAGCGAAAAUAUUCUGAACCUCCUUUAUUUCCCAUCUGUCCUGAUGUCGCUGAAAUUUUCUGAAAAUAUUGAGCUGCAUCUACAAUCAGUAAAAAAGUCUCUGAGUUUUUUAUUUCACUAUUUAAUGUGUUUUUGAAUUCACAGUUUCAAACUGACUUCCUGUUUGGUUCAGCUCUUUGGAGCGUCACUUUUCUUUGAUUCAUACUUUCCAAACCUUUCCCCUGAACUCUCCAGAUUUAAGACAUCAGGUUUCAAACUGGAUCAUUUUGUCUAAAAUCUCAUUAUUUCCUUUGUAUUUAGAUUGAAUAACUGCAGUUUGACAAAGAUCAGCUGUUCUUCUCUGGCCUCAUCUCUGAAGUCCAACCCCUCCCAUCUGAGAUAUCUGGACCUGAGUAUCAACAAUCUGCAGGAUUCAGGAGUGAAGCUGCUGUGUGAUCUUCUGCAGAGUCCAAACUGUAAACUGGAGACUCUGAGGUCAGACUUUUUUCCUCCAUUCAGACAUGAUCAUGAUUUGUUUGUGAUGAUGACACUAAACUGCUGACUCAGGACUGAAAUACUGACCCAGACUGAACACCUUCAGUCCAGAGUAGAUUUUCUGCAUCAGUGGAUUAUUUGAUUGACUCCAGUUCGAUCACUGCUGAGCUCCAGUGAAUUAAAACCUGAACCCAAGAAGAAAACUCUUUGUAGAGUUCACAGUGAGAAGCACAUUCAGACAGAAAACAGAAGCAGGGGGAGAUUUGUCAGACGAGAACCAUUCAAACUUUUGUUCAGGACAAGAUCAGGGAAUAGAAAAAACUCAGUUUAGUUUCUGACACUGAUGAAAGUCCAGCUCUGUUACUUUGAAUUUUGAUUGAUUUUGUGAAUCUCUGUGUGAAAAUCUGAAUUUUCUGGUUUAUCUGCACUUUUCUGAAGCCUUGCUGUGUUUAGACUGAAAUAUUUACCUCUCAAAGACGUGAUAUUUUUGGUUCAGCAAAGUGAAAAAUAUUCUGAAUAUCCUUUAUUUCCCAUCCGUCCUGAAGUCGCUGACAUUUUCUGAAAAUAUUGAGCUGCAUCUCCAAUCAGUAAAAAAGUCUCUGAGUUUUUUAUUUCACUAUUUAAUGUGUUUUUGAAUUCACUGUUUCAAACUGACUUCCUGUUUGGUUCAGCUCUUUGAAGCGUCACUUUUCUUUGAUUCAUACUUUCCAAACCUUUCCCCUGAACUCUACAGAUUUAAGACAUCAGGUUUCAAACUGGAUCAUUUUUCUCUAAAAUCUCAUUAUUUCCUCUUUAUUUAGGUUGUAUGAAUGCAGUUUGACAAAGAUCAGCUGUUCUUCUCUGGCCUCAGCUCUGAAGUCCAACCCCUCCCAUCUGAGACGUCUGGAUCUGAAUUUCAACAAUCUGCAGGAUUCAGACAUGGAGCUGCUGUAUGAUCUUCAGAAGAGUCCAGACUACAGACUGGAGACUCUGGAGUCAGUAUAGAGUUGGAGUUAGUCUGUGCUGAUCUCUCCUGUUCCUCUCCACACAGAAUCACAGCAGAUAUUCAGUAUUUCCUGCUGACUCUUCGACCCUCUCAGAGGAUUCUUUCUUUAGUGAAGCUGUGAGAACAGAAAUCAUCAAACCAGGAGUGUAAGAGUGUCAGUGAUGAAAAAAGUGUCUCCUCGUCUCUAUAUUUCAGAUCAAAUGUAGAAAUGAAACAUAAUGAAACAGAAAUGUUCAGUUUCUGCUCUGAAGUCCAGUUUAUAGUUCUCUGUAUUCAACACAGACUUUAUUUCUCUGCUAACUUGUUGAUUUUGAGCUCUAAGUCUGAAAACAGACAGCUGUUCUUUAUACUUGUUAUUUUCACAGCAGGUUUGUUCGAUCAGCUUUAACACAUUUGACAGGAAUGAUUUCUUUAUUUUGAUGAUGUUGGUUUAUUUGUGAGGAAACCUGCUGCUGUACACCAUCACUUCUGCUCUGAGCAGGACUGAGACCUGCUGGUCUUUAAACUGGAUGUUCUUCAGUCCAGCUGAUGAAGUGAGUCUCAGAGUGGAAACACUCAUCGUCUUUUUUUCUCUCCUCAGAUGGAGAUCCUAUCAGUGAGAGUGAUUAAGAAGAGGAUCAUGUGUUUCCUGAUGCUCAGAGAGGUGGAGGCAGCGGUGUGUCGGUGUGUUUAGUUGGUCUUAGUUUUUAUGAAGCAGGAACUUUGAUUUGAUCGUCUUUUCUUGGAAAUCAAAGUUCCUGUUGGACUCAAAGAUAAAGUCUGUGAUCCCCGUCAGGUUUGAAGACUUAAAUUUCACAGCAGAGUGAUUGUGGCUCUGAGUCGGGAUGUUUGGACAUUUGUUUCAUGUGUUUUUAUUUGUGAUAUUCUCUCUAAGGUGGGUUAUUGUUCAUUCAAAGUAUGUGGUGGACAAAUCCACACAUCUAACAAAAAAAAGGUAAAAUAUGAAGAUUUCUGCAUGACAUCAACGAUAUAAUAGAUAUAAUUUUCUAAGCAACAGGUGGUCGUCUCUUAUAGGGGGUACUUUGAUCCAGAAAUCAAAAGCAAUCGAAGAAAGACACACGUCUGUCUGUCUGAUGUUUAGUGCCUUCCUUUUUAGUCUGGCUUUUAGCUGAUUUGUGUUUGAUUCUUCUAGCCUCUCUUCUAGUCUACUCUUUUUAUCUCACGUAUUUCACUCCACUUUAG
This 5980-nucleotide long non-coding RNA is filed under the name Xyrichtys novacula (pearly razorfish). Lineage: Eukaryota; Metazoa; Chordata; Actinopteri; Labriformes; Labridae. The record is from RNAcentral.